GCCCAGACUCCUACGGGAGGCAGCAGUGGGGGAUAUUGGACAAUGGGGGGAACCCUGAUCCAGCGAUGCCGCGUGAGGGAAGAAGGUUUUCGGAUUGUAAACCUCUGUGGACAGGGACGAUAAUGACGGUACCUGUCAAGAAAGCCACGGCUAACUACGUGCCAGCAGCCGCGGUAAUACGUAGGGGGCAAGCGUUAUCCGGAUUUACUGGGUGUAAAGGGAGCGUAGACGGCAAUGCAAGUCUGGAGUGAAAGCCCGAGGCCCAACCAUGGGACUGCUCUGGAAACUGUGUAGCUUGAGUGCAGGAGGGGUAAGCGGAAUUCCUAGUGUAGCGGUGAAAUGCGUAGAUAUUAGGAGGAACACCGGUGGCGAAGGCGGCUUACUGGACUGUAACUGACGUUGAGGCUCGAAAGCGUGGGGAGCAAACAGGAUUAGAUACCCCAGUA
RNAcentral lists this ribosomal RNA (446 nucleotides) under uncultured bacterium. RNAcentral's name for it is "bacterial SSU rRNA". It matches the Rfam family "Bacterial small subunit ribosomal RNA", at positions 329 to 792 of the family's 1533-position model. The record is from RNAcentral.